RNAcentral lists this ribosomal RNA (505 nucleotides) under uncultured bacterium. RNAcentral's name for it is "partial 16S ribosomal RNA". It matches the Rfam family "Bacterial small subunit ribosomal RNA", at positions 28 to 507 of the family's 1533-position model. The record is from RNAcentral.
GACGAACGCUGGCGGCGUGCCUAAUACAUGCAAGUAGAACGCACAGUUUAUACCGUAGCUUGCUACACCAUAGACUGUGAGUUGCGAACGGGUGAGUAACGCGUAGGUAACCUGCCUGGUAGCGGGGGAUAACUAUUGGAAACGAUAGCUAAUACCGCAUAAUAUUGGUUAUUGCAUGAUAAUUAAUUGAAAGGUGCACUUGCACCACUACCAGAUUGACCUGCGUUGUAUUAGCUAGUAGGUGAGGUAACGGCUCACCUAGGCGACGAUACAUAGCCGACCUGAGAGGGUGGUCGGCCACACUGGGAAUGAGACACGGCCCAGACUCCUACGGGAGGCAGCAGUAGGGAAUCUUCGGCAAUGGACGAAAGUCUGACCGAACAACGCCGCGGGAGUGGAGAAGGUCUUCGGAUCGGAAAGCUCUGUUGUAAGAGAAGAACGGGUGUGAGAGUGGAAAGUUCACACUGUGACGGUAUCUUACCAGAAAGGGACGGCUAACUACGUG